GGUGGGAUGGCCGAGUUGGUUAUGGCGCCAGGUUAAGGUCACCUUAACAUCUUAUCUCCUGGUUCGGAAACGAGCGUGGGUUCGAGUCCCACUCCCAUCA
Non-coding RNA from Saccharata proteae CBS 121410, 100 nucleotides. The record is from the annotation of a GenBank genome assembly. Lineage: Eukaryota; Fungi; Ascomycota; Dothideomycetes; Botryosphaeriales; Saccharataceae.